AUUAUCAAGAGAGAUGGAGGGACAGGCCCUGUGAAAUCUCAGCAACAGGCUUUUAAAAGUACUGUGCUAAAUCCUGCAGGCAUCGGCUUGACAGAUAA
RNAcentral lists this non-coding RNA (98 nucleotides) under Jeotgalicoccus meleagridis. RNAcentral's name for it is "SAM riboswitch (S box leader)". It matches the Rfam family "SAM riboswitch aptamer (S box leader)". From Rfam's summary of the family: The SAM riboswitch is found upstream of a number of genes which code for proteins involved in methionine or cysteine biosynthesis in Gram-positive bacteria. The SAM riboswitch acts at the level of transcription termination control. The record is from RNAcentral. Lineage: Bacteria; Bacillati; Bacillota; Bacilli; Caryophanales; Staphylococcaceae.